GACGAACGCUGGCGGCGUGCCUAACACAUGCAAGUCGAGCGAGUGAAUUUCCUUUGGGAUUGAAGCUAGCGGCGGACGGGUGAGUAACACGUGGGCAACCUGCCUCAUAGAGGGGAAUAGCCUUUCGAAAGGAAGAUUAAUACCGCAUAAGAUUGUAGCUUCGCAUGAAGUAGCAAUUAAAGGAGCAAUCCGCUAUGAGAUGGGCCCGCGGCGCAUUAGCUAGUUGGUGAGGUAACGGCUCACCAAGGCGACGAUGCGUAGCCGACCUGAGAGGGUGAUCGGCCACAUUGGGACUGAGACACGGCCCAGACUCCUACGGGAGGCAGCAGUGGGGAAUAUUGCACAAUGGGGGAAACCCUGAUGCAGCAACGCCGCGUGAGUGAUGACGGCCUUCGGGUUGUAAAGCUCUGUCUUCAGGGACGAUAAUGACGGUACCUGAGGAGGAAGCCACGGCUAACUACGUGCCAGCCGCCGCCGUAA
This 480-nucleotide ribosomal RNA is filed under the name uncultured bacterium. RNAcentral describes it as "partial 16S ribosomal RNA". It matches the Rfam family "Bacterial small subunit ribosomal RNA", at positions 28 to 523 of the family's 1533-position model. The record is from RNAcentral.